UAGUGGAGGGGUGGGGGGUGGUGCACAUGGUGUGCUGCUUCACAUUCCCUCAAGUUGAUGGGUCACGGGGAAACUCGUGAUUCAUUAGGCCAGUGUUUUUGUAUAGUUUGCUUGGUGGGAAGUCAGCUGUUUGUCGUGUAUUACACGUGAGCAGCAUGUGCCUGCCAGUAUUUACACCAUAUAACAAAACUGAUAACAGUUAUAAUUCUUUA
This 212-nucleotide unclassified non-coding RNA is filed under the name uncultured fungus. RNAcentral describes it as "sequence contains ITS1, 5.8S rRNA gene". The record is from RNAcentral. Lineage: Eukaryota; Fungi.